RNAcentral lists this ribosomal RNA (52 nucleotides) under Hoplolaimus columbus. RNAcentral's name for it is "partial 18S ribosomal RNA". The record is from RNAcentral. Lineage: Eukaryota; Metazoa; Nematoda; Chromadorea; Rhabditida; Hoplolaimidae.
CGUAACAAGGUAGCUGUAGGUGAACCUGCUGCUGGAUCAUUACCCACGUGAU